Molecule: ribosomal RNA, 249 nt
Filed under: uncultured bacterium
Lineage: Bacteria
Description: partial 16S ribosomal RNA
Rfam family: Bacterial small subunit ribosomal RNA
Source: RNAcentral
GCAAGUCGAGGGGUAACAUUGGAGCUUGCUCCAGAUGACGACCGGCGCACGGGUGCGUAACGCGUAUGCAACCUACCUUAUACUGGGGAAUAGCCCGAAGAAAUUCGGAUUAAUGCCCCAUAGUAUUGUUUUUUCGCAUGUUAAGACAAUUAAAGAUUACGGUAUAAGAUGGGCAUGCGUCCCAUUAGCUAGAUGGUAAGGUAACGGCUUACCAUGGCAACGAUGGGUAGGGGGCCUGAGAGGGUGAUC